Homo sapiens (human) is the source of this 651-nucleotide long non-coding RNA. Ensembl annotates it as PCBP1 antisense RNA 1. Its record names the gene PCBP1-AS1. NCBI's taxonomy places the organism in Eukaryota, Metazoa, Chordata, Mammalia, Primates, Hominidae. The record is from Ensembl.
CAGGUGUCCCCAACCCUAGUCUGUGGCUCAUUAGGAACAGGUUGCCCAGCAGGAGGUGAGUGAGUGGUGGGCGAGUGAGCAAAGCUUCAUCUGUGUUUUUACAACCAUCACUCGCAUUACUGCCCGAGCUGUGCCUCCUGUCAGAUCAGCGCAGCAUUAGAUUCUCAUAGGAGUGGGAACUCUAUUGUGAACUGAGCAAGUGAGGGAUCUAGGUUGCAUGCUUCUUAUGAGAAUCUAAUGCCUGAUGAUCUGUCACUGUCUCCUAUCUCAUCUAAUUGCAGGAAAACAAGCUCAGGGCUCCCACUGAUUGUACAUUAUGGUGAGACGUGGUCUUGUAACACAGUGGUUAAGAAUGUGACUUUGGAGCCAGCCUGCUAGGGGCUGAAUUCUGACUCAGCCAUUUACUAACUGUGUGACCUUAGUUCCCUGAGCACAUGCUGUUGAGUAAUCCUGCCUGGACCAGUACUUCCCUCACCCUAGACUUCACCUUCAGUUCCCCUUUAUACCACCUGCUGAAGCUGCCAGCCAGCCUUUUCGACCACCCUCCCUCCCCCAGGGGUGUUUGGCUUCUCAGACCCCAGCCUGAGCUAGUGCCCUUGGCUUCCUAGGGUCUUGCCAGGAAAGCAAAGGAGAACAUGCAUACCGCCAAAG